Molecule: unclassified non-coding RNA, 336 nt
Filed under: soil metagenome
Description: partial contains 5.8S ribosomal RNA, internal transcribed spacer 2, and large subunit ribosomal RNA
Rfam family: 5.8S ribosomal RNA (bases 1-120)
Source: RNAcentral
GAUGAAGAACGCAGCGAAAUGCGAUAAGUAAUGUGAAUUGCAGAAUUCAGUGAAUCAUCGAAUCUUUGAACGCACAUUGCGCCCGCCAGUAUUCUGGCGGGCAUGCCUGUUCGAGCGUCAUAUCAACCAUCAAGCCCCCGGCUUGUGUUGGGGACCUGCGGCUGCCGCAGGCCCUGAAAACCAGUGGCGGGCUCGCUAGUCACUCCGAGCGUAGUAAUACAUCUCGCUCAGGGCGUGCUGCGGGUUCCGGCCGUUAAAAAAGCCUUAUUUACCCAAGGUUGACCUCGGAUCAGGUAGGAAGACCCGCUGAACUUAAGCAUAUCAAUAAGCGGAGGA